CGGCCCCUGGCGGCCGCGGGAUUCGAUUAGAGUUUGAUUAUGGCUCAGAUUGAACGCUGGCGGCAUGCCUUACACAUGCAAGUCGAACGGCAGCACGGGAGCAAUCCUGGUGGCGAGUGGCGAACGGGUGAGUAAUAUAUCGGAACGUGCCYAGUCGUGGGGGAUAACGUAGCGAAAGUUACGCUAAUACCGCAUACGAUCUAUGGAUGAAAGCGGGGGAUCGCAAGACCUCGCGCGAUUGGAGCGGCCGAUAUCAGAUUAGGUAGUUGGUGAGGUAAAGGCUCACCAAGCCGACGAUCUGUAGCUGGUCUGAGAGGACGACCAGCCACACUGGGACUGAGACACGGCCCAGACUCCUACGGGAGGCAGCAGUGGGGAAUUUUGGACAAUGGGCGAAAGCCUGAUCCAGCAAUGCCGCGUGCAGGAUGAAGGCCUUCGGGUUGUAAACUGCUUUUGUACGGAACGAAACGGCGAGCUCUAAUACAGUUUGCUAAUGACGGUACCGUAAGAAUAAGCACCGGCUAACUACGUGCCAGCAGCCGCGGUAAUACGUAGG
Molecule: ribosomal RNA, 556 nt
Filed under: uncultured bacterium
Lineage: Bacteria
Description: bacterial SSU rRNA
Rfam family: Bacterial small subunit ribosomal RNA
Source: RNAcentral